Molecule: ribosomal RNA, 1498 nt
Filed under: uncultured prokaryote
Description: partial 16S ribosomal RNA
Rfam family: Bacterial small subunit ribosomal RNA
Source: RNAcentral
AGAGUUUGAUCAUGGCUCAGAUUGAACGCUGGCGGCAGGCCUAACACAUGCAAGUCGAGCGAGAAAGCACUUCGGUGUGAGUAGAGCGGCGGACGGGUGAGUAACGCGUAGGAAUCUACCUAGUAGUGGGGGACAACCUGGUGAAAACCAGGCUAAUACCGCAUACGCCCUACGGGGGAAAGCGGGGGAUCUUCGGACCUCGCGCUAUUGGAUGAGCCUGCGUUGGAUUAGCUAGUUGGUGGGGUAAAGGCCUACCAAGGCGACGAUCCAUAGCUGGUCUGAGAGGAUGAUCAGCCACACUGGGACUGAGACACGGCCCAGACUCCUACGGGAGGCAGCAGUGGGGAAUAUUGCACAAUGGGCGCAAGCCUGAUGCAGCCAUGCCGCGUGUGUGAAGAAGGCCUGAGGGUUGUAAAGCACUUUCAGUAGGGAAGAAAGGUCAAGCGUUAAUAGCGCUAGGCUGUGACGUUACCUACAGAAGAAGCACCGGCUAACUCCGUGCCAGCAGCCGCGGUAAUACGGAGGGUGCGAGCGUUAAUCGGAAUUACUGGGCAUAAAGCGCACGUAGGCGGUUUUGUAAGUCGAAUGUGAAAGCCCUGGGCUUAACCUGGGAACUGCAUUCGAUACUGCAUAACUAGAGUAUAGGAGAGGAAGGUAGAAUUUCUGGUGUAGCGGUGAAAUGCGUAGAGAUCAGAAAGAAUACCGGUGGCGAAGGCGACCUUCUGGCCUAAUACUGACGCUGAGGUUCGAAAGCGUGGGGAGCAAACAGGAUUAGAUACCCUGGUAGUCCACGCCGUAAACGAUGUCAACUAGCCGUUGGAAGACUUGAUCUUUUAGUGGCGCAGCUAACGCACUAAGUUGACCGCCUGGGGAGUACGGCCGCAAGGUUAAAACUCAAAUGAAUUGACGGGGGCCCGCACAAGCGGUGGAGCAUGUGGUUUAAUUCGAUGCAACGCGAAGAACCUUACCAGGUCUUGACAUCCCGAGAAUUUACUAGAGAUAGUUUAGUGCCUUCGGGAACUCGGUGACAGGUGCUGCAUGGCUGUCGUCAGCUCGUGUCGUGAAAUGUUGGGUUAAGUCCCGUAACGAGCGCAACCAUUGUCCUUAGUUGCCAGCACGUAAUGGUGGAACUCUAAGGAGACUGCCGGUGACAAACCGGAGGAAGGUGGGGACGACGUCAAGUAAUCAUGGCCAUUCAGAAAUGGGCUACAAACGUGCUACAAUGGUCGGUACAGAGGGUUGCCAAGCCGCGAGGUGGAGCUAAUCCCUUAAAACCGUUCGUAGUCCGGAUUGGAGUCUGCAACUCGACUCCAUGAAGUCGGAAUCGCUAGUAAUCGCGAAUCAGAAUGUCGCGGUGAAGACGUUCCCGGGCCUUGUACACACCGCCCGUCACACCAUGGGAGUGGAUUGCACCAGAAGUAGUUAGUCUAACCUUCGGGAGGACGAUUACCACGGUGUGGUUCAUGACUGGCGUGAAGUCGAAACAAGGUAACCCUAA